Molecule: long non-coding RNA, 423 nt
Organism: Thunnus maccoyii (southern bluefin tuna)
Lineage: Eukaryota; Metazoa; Chordata; Actinopteri; Scombriformes; Scombridae
Exons: 3
Source: RefSeq, a predicted model, not a curated record
CAGGGGUGAAAACUUCAGGUCAGCUUUGGCGUCAUGCUAAACCAUUUGAAUAAUUGUUAGAGUAAUUCUUCCAUUUCACACAUUAAAAAAGCAAUGAAUAUAGAAAAGUCUGGAAGCAGCAGGGUAAUAUUUUUCUUCUUUCCUGUCUCAUCAAUCAUCCCGCGACCCCUUGGGUUUGUCUUGUGACCCUUUGGAGAGGUCUUGACCCCUCAGUGGGGGCUCUACUAGAUCCCACAAGUUCAGCUGCCUCAGACAAGAUGCUGUCAGCGUUAAAUCAACGACAACAUGCCAGACGAGUGAAAGCGCCGUUAACCUCUGGCUUCGACACUGCUAUAAAGGUCGAUGAGAUCUUCAUCACUGCGCUCCUCUCCUGCUCGUCGGCUCCUCAGCCACUCCUCUCUAGCUUUCUUCACUUCCUGUCCG